This 496-nucleotide ribosomal RNA is filed under the name uncultured bacterium. RNAcentral's name for it is "partial 16S ribosomal RNA". It matches the Rfam family "Bacterial small subunit ribosomal RNA", at positions 29 to 507 of the family's 1533-position model. The record is from RNAcentral.
AUGAACGCUGGCGGCGUGCCUAAUACAUGCAAGUCGAGCGAACAGACGAGGAGCUUGCUCCUCUGACGUUAGCGGCGGACGGGUGAGUAACACGUGGAUAACCUACCUAUAAGACUGGGAUAACUUCGGGAAACCGGAGCUAAUACCGGAUAAUAUAUUGAACCGCAUGGUUCAAUAGUGAAAGACGGUUUUGUUGUCACUUAUAGAUGGAUCCGCGCCGCAUUAGCUAGUUGGUAAGGUAACGGCUUACCAAGGCAACGAUGCGUAGCCGACCUGAGAGGGUGAUCGGCCACACUGGAACUGAGACACGGUCCAGACUCCUACGGGAGGCAGCAGUAGGGAAUCUUCCGCAAUGGGCGAAAGCUUGACGGAGCAACGCCGCGUGAGUGAUGAAGGUCUUCGGAUCGUAAAACUCUGUUAUUAGGGAAGAACAAAUGUGUAAGUAACUAUGCACGUCUUGACGGUACCUAAUCAGAAAGCCACGGCUAACUACGUG